CUUUUCAGUGUCUUUCUCACCGACUCUACUUCAUCUAUAUCUCAUCGACUUCUUCUUUUCUAGAAUGCACUUCACCGAGUCUUCACAAAACAAUCGACUCUCUGAUCUUCUACCACCUCGCAGCUCCACUCAAGAAACGAUUACUUCCGAUGUCAUUGGUUAUUCUUGGCGGAAUCGAACCAUCGUCUUCACCGGAGAAGCGAGCCUACCAACGACGCAGACAACAUACAUCGGUGACACACUCACAUGAUAUUGGCAACAACAGUGGAUGCAUACAUCGAUUGACACUGACUUCUUUCUCUCCACUGGAAGCCUUCGAUGUCCUUUGCGGUCUCAGGCGCUCCCCUUUCUUGCACCUCCAGACGCUUCCGCUUUCUCCUAGCCUCCACCACCACCUGUCGUCUAAUUACAUCCACAUUUGAAACCAAACGUUUUUCCUGGCAACAUCGACUUGAAAUAGCAGCACCAGAUACAAAGUGAAUAUGCUCCAUUAAUUCCAUUUCAUGUCAAAUAAAACGAUAUUCUCAUUGCUCAACUAAAGAAUAUAAGAAUGAAGAAUAUUAUGAUACAUGACAUGCUCUUAGGUGUCUAAGGCCCUGUCAUGCUCUUUCAUGGUAAUACCAACACGUAUGACAACCUAAUACCCAUUCUGUAAAUCGAAAGUUUAUACAUCAGAAAGAUGUGGUUUUUUAGACACUCACAAACAUUGAUUUGUUGCUUAAUUUUUCAAUUCCUAUUUUCAUUCUUACGAUUUUGACAUAUGUUAUUUGUUUAUGUGGUGUUUGUUAUAACAAUUUGCCAGAUUUUUUUUUAUAGUUCACCAUCUUGAUUGAGAUUUACAUUUGAGGGAUUGUUGGGGCCUUCGUGCUGGAGAAGUAUCCACAUUUAUUCUUGCAUCUGCUAGCCCGCCAAGUGUUUGCUAAAAUGCUUGAAUGUUUGUCAUACACUUGAGAAUUUUGAGAUGUCUCGGAUACAAGAUCCAAAGAUUUGCGACAAUUCAAUCAAGAAUUCACAGAGGAUACAAAUUUUUAAAUUUUGUAGAAUUAAAGAAGUCAAGAGGCAUACUACAAAUCUUUUGAACAAUGAAGACUAAGAAAGAGUUGAAAUGGUCCUUAAAUACAUUGAGGAUGGAGACUUUCGAAGUGGGACGUUGCCAGAUACAAAGCCACGUAUGUAUUCCAAUAUUUGUGUAAGUGGCAAAUCAAGGUCCUCAUUUUUAUGUAUUAUGAAGUUAAGUAUAAUAGCAACUUACUUUCAUUUGGUUGUCUAUUGAAGCAUCAUGCAUUUAUGUCUUCC
This is a long non-coding RNA of Lactuca sativa (garden lettuce), 1296 nucleotides long. RefSeq lists it as uncharacterized. The record is from RefSeq and is a predicted model, not a curated record. Lineage: Eukaryota; Viridiplantae; Streptophyta; Magnoliopsida; Asterales; Asteraceae.